GAUGAAUGAGUUUCAAGGUUCGGAUGCUGGAUCGUCGGAUGUAAAUGGUGGAAAAGAUGGAACUUCAAAUCGUCAUGGCAAGUCGAAGCAAUCCAAGAAACAAGCUUCUAACAAGAGCACGAAUAGUGACAUUGAAACAAGCCGAGGUAGGCGGGCCAAAACCUCAACCGCGGGCUCAGAGUCGCCUUCACAAGAAGCAGGAGCGAAAAAGAACCGAAGGAAAAAGAGAUCAAACAAAGAUCCGUCCGCCUCAAACGAUGAUUAAGGUCAAUGAGUUUUGUGAAUAUUACCAUCCCUAAAACUUACCAUGCUUUUUUAACAUAUUUACAUGAUAUUUAACAAUUUUAUAUCGUAUAGGACCGAAAACUGUUUUAUGUAUAAAUCAUUAGUUGAUGUUCGAUUCGUCACUCUUUGUAUUAUUUUUGCACAUAUGCAACAAUGAGAAUUGUAGCAUUUCGGUUCA
Helianthus annuus (common sunflower) is the source of this 463-nucleotide RNA transcript. RefSeq lists it as uncharacterized. The transcript has 2 exons. Lineage: Eukaryota; Viridiplantae; Streptophyta; Magnoliopsida; Asterales; Asteraceae. The record is from RefSeq and is a predicted model, not a curated record.